Molecule: long non-coding RNA, 1165 nt
Filed under: Fragaria vesca (wild strawberry)
Lineage: Eukaryota; Viridiplantae; Streptophyta; Magnoliopsida; Rosales; Rosaceae
Description: long non-coding RNA (FVES_LNC004459)
Source: RNAcentral
AAUAAUCCAAUAUUUAAAUCAAAAAUAGGCAAAAUUACCCGAGAGCCAUAAUUACGCUCAUCAUUGCCUAACUUCGAUAUUCUUACAUCGGAACGAUCCGAACUUAAAUAUCAUACUCAAUAGUCGUAAAUACAACCUCCCCAAAAUACGACUUAAAUCCAACGGCCGGAUUCUACAUUAAUUACCAAAAAUACCACACUUCGGAAAUUCACAAACCUAUCCAAAUCUCAUCCAAAAAUUCCAUAAAUCACACCAAUAUACUCCUCUUAAUAUUCCACAUUUAAAACCCUAAAAAUCUCCUAACCGGCAGCGGCGGCCGGCAGCCGUUUUCCGGCGACCUGCAAACGCUACCAAAUUUUAACAGAAUCUUCCUCUCAAUCUCCUCUACAACUUUCAUGACCAACACAUCACCCAAUUCCAAGCCUAACUAGGCUAAUCGAACGAAAAUAACUUAAAAGCCUAGAAAUUUCAACUCCACAUUUCUCCUUACCUAGCUAAAGAGGGAGGGAGCUGCUUGGAGGGGUUGUUGCACGGGAGGAGGGCUACAAAACCGUACCAAGCUUGCCCGGAUUGGUGGCCGGAGGAGGAAGUUCCGGCGAAGGGAAGCUCGGGGCAGCCUAGCCUUUCGGGCGGCACCGCUCACUCACGGCGGAGCUAGGGCUCCUCUCACCGGUCCAGGAAGGCUGCUGGGUUGGAGGUCGAUCGAUUGGAACCGGUGCGGCGGUCUGGGGCGGCCGGACGGCGGCGGACGGCGGUGGUGAAGUUUCCCGGGUGGAGGGAGAAGAAAUGCGGGUGGGAAGAGAGAAAACGGGAGGGAGAGAGAGAGAAAGGAAGAAGAAAUGGGUUGGGCUCGGCCCAGCCGACCCAACACUCCUUUUUAACCCAAACUUCCAAAAUAAAAACACCCUGAAAAAUAAUACCCGAAUAAAAAUUACCUUUUACUAGCUAAAAUUUACUAUUUUACCGUCUUCGUAUUUUCAUCAUACGAAUAAUCCUCCGCACAUAAUCGUCCCCGAAACCCCUCUAGGGACCAAUUAAACUAUUUACUCAUGAUCAAGACGGUAAAAUUCUUAUUAUCAUCACGCUAGUAAAUAAGGUAAAAAUAUAAGGGUCGGGAAUGUGACAAAACACCUGCAGUGGUACUGUCAUUAUCCGCCGAUUUCAC